RNAcentral lists this ribosomal RNA (996 nucleotides) under Triticum aestivum (bread wheat). RNAcentral's name for it is "partial small subunit ribosomal RNA". The record is from RNAcentral. Lineage: Eukaryota; Viridiplantae; Streptophyta; Magnoliopsida; Poales; Poaceae.
AUGAUCUGUUUCAACUGCGGUGGUCCAGGGCAUUAUGUUGGGAAUUGCAUUAAACCAAAAUCAUGCUUCAUAUGUCAGCAAAAUCACAAUGUGAACAACCGUGCUGCCUGGACUAAGGUACAACCAACUGCUGCCUUUUUUGGUAGUGGAGCAAGUGGUCUUGGUUUUUACCAUGUGGAUGUUCCUGUUGCUAAUGAAUCCAACUGGUUGAACUUCCAAAACUGUGUUGUAGUUAAUAUUCUCAAAGGUGAUGUGGAUAAGGAGUUGCUGUUAAGUCUUUUGACUGCUACCUUUUGCAAAACCAGACAAUGGCCUUGGCAGAUUAGGGGGCUGUCCAAUAAGACAUUUCUGGUGAGAUUUCCACCAUGGAAGAAAGUGGAGGAUCUCAUUGAAUUGCCUGGAUUUUCUCUGCCUCAAGAUGUUUUUGUCACACUUACUGAAUGAAAGGGGGCUUGUGACCCAUUUGGAGAACUUAUUGAGGCAUGGGUUUUGAUCGAGGGAAUCCCACCUAAAUGGUGUACCUGGAAGGUUUUCGCCCAAAUUGCUUCCCUGUUUGGGCUUCUGACUGAUGUAGACUAGAAUGGGAUGUUUAGGACCUUCUUUGAGAAUGUUAGGAUUAAAAUUGCUUAUAGAGACCCCAUAAAAAUUCCUUUUGAAAGGCUCAUUGAGAUGAAGAAGAAGUUAUUUCUGCUAGGUUUUACUGUGGAGGGCUUUGAACAAGUAGGUGGGGUUGAUUCUGUUAUUGACAUUGAAGAUGAUGAGGAGUUUGAAGGUGAUGGUGCUGCUGAGAGACAGGAGGAUGAGGGUGGAGAUGGUCAUAAGGAGGGUCUGGAGGACUUACAUGAUAGUGAGGAGGCAAUUGAUGAGUUAGAUAAAGCUAAUAUGACUAGUAUGGGUAAGAAUACACAGAAAGGGGUGCAGACUGGUAUGUUCUGCUCCGAUUCUGAGCAUGAAACCUUUAUCCUGGAGUGUGUUAACACUGGUGAAAAGAAAUAA